AAUGCAAGUCGAACGAGAUUUCGGAUCUAGUGGCGCACGGGUAGUACGCGUGGAACCUACCUUUUAGCACGGGACAACGUUUGGAAACGAACGCUAAUACCGUAUACGCCCUCCGGGGGAAAGGUCAGCCGCUGAAAGAGGGGCCCGCAUCUGAUUAGCUUGUUGGUAAGGUAAUGGCUUACCAAGGCUACGAUCAGUAGCUGGUCUGAGAGGAUGAUCAGCCACACUGGGACUGAGACACGGCCCAGACUCCUACGGGAGGCAGCAGUGGGGAAUAUUGGACAAUGGAGGCAACUCUGAUCCAGCAAUGCCGCGUGUGUGACGAAGGCCCUAGGGUUGUAAAGCACUUUCAACGGUGAAGAUGAUGACGGUAGCCGUAGAAGAAGCCCCGGCUAACUUCGUGCCAGCAGCCGCGGUAAUACGAAGGGGGCGAGCGUUAUUCGGAAUUAUUUGGGCGUCAAGGGCUCGCAGGCUGGUUGAACAGUUAGACGUGAAAUCCCCGGGCUCUACCUGGGAACUGCGUCUAGUACUAGUAAGCUAGAGAGAUAUAGAGGAAAGUGGAACCUCCCCGUGUAGAGGUGAAUCCGUAGAUAUGGGAAGACCGCAGUGGCGGAAGCGACUUCAUGGGUAUUACUGACCAGUAGAGGAAACGUGGGAGCAAGCGGAUGAUGCCUGUAGUCACGCAGAAACAGUGUGCAGAGCUGGAGGUCCUCUAGUGACGCACACGCACAACACCCGCG
This 740-nucleotide ribosomal RNA is filed under the name uncultured Alphaproteobacteria bacterium. RNAcentral's name for it is "bacterial SSU rRNA". It matches the Rfam family "Bacterial small subunit ribosomal RNA", at positions 54 to 868 of the family's 1533-position model. The record is from RNAcentral. Lineage: Bacteria; Pseudomonadati; Pseudomonadota; Alphaproteobacteria.